CAGAGUCGUAAAACACUCCCAAACCCAUGUGAACUUACCUUUGUUGCCUCGGCAGGACCUACCCUGUAGCUACUUGUAGCUGCUGUGUAGCCUGCCGGUGGACCAUUAAACUCUUGUUAUUUAAUAGAUAUCUGAGCGUCUUAUUUAAUAAGUCA
Molecule: unclassified non-coding RNA, 155 nt
Filed under: uncultured Nectriaceae
Lineage: Eukaryota; Fungi; Ascomycota; Sordariomycetes; Hypocreales; Nectriaceae
Description: sequence contains ITS1
Source: RNAcentral